AACGAACGCUGGCGGCGCGCCUAACACAUGCAAGUCGGACGCACUCGCAAGAGUGAGUGGCGGACGGGUGAGUAACACGUGGGAACCUGCCCUGGGGUCUGGGAUAGCUGCGGGAAACUGCAGGUAACACCGGAUGUGCCCUUUGGGGGAAAGUUUACGCCCUGGGAUGGGCCCGCGUCGGAUUAGGUAGUUGGUGGGGUAAUGGCCUACCAAGCCUUCGAUCCGUAACCGGUCUGAGAGGAUGAUCGGUCACACUGGGACUGAGACACGGCCCAGACUCCUACGGGAGGCAGCAGUGGGGAAUCUUGGACAAUGGGGGCAACCCUGAUCCAGCGACGCCGCGUGGGUGAUGAAGGCCUUCGGGUCGUAAAGCCCUUUUGCCGGGGACGAUGAUGACGGUACCCGGAGAAGAAGCACCGGCUAACUCUGUGCCAGCAGCCGCCGUAACAC
RNAcentral lists this ribosomal RNA (450 nucleotides) under uncultured bacterium. RNAcentral describes it as "bacterial SSU rRNA". It matches the Rfam family "Bacterial small subunit ribosomal RNA", at positions 28 to 526 of the family's 1533-position model. The record is from RNAcentral.